AGAAACCAGGGACACUGGGAGACAUGGGGACACUGAGAGACAUAGGGCCACUGUGUCCCUAGUGUCCCUAUGUCUCCCAGUGUCCCAAUGUCUCAGCGUCCCCAAGUCUCU
This is a non-coding RNA of Pelobates cultripes (western spadefoot toad), 111 nucleotides long. NCBI's taxonomy places the organism in Eukaryota, Metazoa, Chordata, Amphibia, Anura, Pelobatidae. The record is from the annotation of a GenBank genome assembly.